CUGAAUAUUGGGCAAACCCGUCGAAAGGCGGGGACGCAAAGCUAAAGGGUCUAAGGACUUCGUGUCUAUGAUUGCCAGCUGCCGGU
This is a regulatory RNA element of Thermosinus carboxydivorans Nor1, 86 nucleotides long. It matches the Rfam family "c-di-GMP-I riboswitch aptamer". From Rfam's summary of the family: GEMM was predicted in a large-scale screen for bacterial structured RNA regulatory elements. Genes associated with GEMM are involved in a diverse array of functions, including chemotaxis regulation, signal transduction, secretion and chitin. NCBI's taxonomy places the organism in Bacteria, Bacillati, Bacillota, Negativicutes, Selenomonadales, Sporomusaceae. The record is from Rfam.